GUUUCAAUUCCUCAUAGGCAGGCUAUCGGCGGGUCCAGAGAGGGGAGGUGGCUUGCGUGUUUCUCUUG
RNAcentral lists this small RNA (68 nucleotides) under Acididesulfobacillus acetoxydans. RNAcentral's name for it is "Peptococcaceae bacterium INE non-coding RNA". Lineage: Bacteria; Bacillati; Bacillota; Clostridia; Eubacteriales; Peptococcaceae. The record is from RNAcentral.